RNAcentral lists this non-coding RNA (29 nucleotides) under Callithrix jacchus (white-tufted-ear marmoset). The record is from RNAcentral. RNAcentral also lists the same sequence under 1 other name. Lineage: Eukaryota; Metazoa; Chordata; Mammalia; Primates; Cebidae.
GAGGCUGAAGCAGUUGUGGCUGAUUGAUG